AUCCUCCAAGAAGGUCCAAAAUGUUUGGGGGUUAAAAACAACUACAAAGUCUCUUGGUGGAGUUCUGAAUAAAAUCUCCUUCAAAUCUUCGGUGUGCACACCCUUUGUUGAAGAAAAUAAACACAAACUCACUCCACUAAUAUCUCCAGAGGAAGAGGAUCCCUUUAAAGUUGAUGACAAACUUGACAGAUGCUUCAGACAGAGGGCUGGGAGCCAUGCUCUCGCAGGUGGUGGAGGGGGAGGAGCGCCCGGUGCUGUACAUUAGCCGUAAACUCUCGUUGAGGGAAACUAAGUGCAGCACCGUGGAAAAGGAGUGUCUCGCCAUCAAGUGGGCGGUCCUCACUCUCCGAUAUUACCUGUUAGGGCGGGCCUUCACCCUCUGUUCCGAUCACACCCCGCUCCAGUGGCUCCACUGCAUGAAAGAUACCAACGCGCAGAUCACCUGUUGGUAUCUGGCUCUUCAGCCGUUUAAGUUCAAGGUGGUCCACAGACCGGGGGCACAGAUGGCUGUCGCCGACUAAAAGGAGUGCUCAGUAAUGUUUCAGAGUGUGGUACUCAAAACAUGGGCUA
Long non-coding RNA from Myxocyprinus asiaticus (Chinese sucker), 570 nucleotides. RefSeq lists it as uncharacterized. The record is from RefSeq and is a predicted model, not a curated record. The transcript has 3 exons. Lineage: Eukaryota; Metazoa; Chordata; Actinopteri; Cypriniformes; Catostomidae.